This 301-nucleotide ribosomal RNA is filed under the name uncultured bacterium. RNAcentral's name for it is "partial 16S ribosomal RNA". It matches the Rfam family "Bacterial small subunit ribosomal RNA", at positions 509 to 807 of the family's 1533-position model. The record is from RNAcentral.
CAGCAGCCGCGGGAAUACAGAGGGUGCGAGCGUUAAUCGGAUUUACUGGGCGUAAAGCGUGCGUAGGCGGCUUCUUAAGUCGGAUGUGAAAUCCCUGAGCUUAACUUAGGAAUUGCAUUCGAUACUGGGAAGCUAGAGUAUGGGAGAGGAUGGUAGAAUUCCAGGUGUAGCGGUGAAAUGCGUAGAGACCUGGAGGAAUACCGAUGGCGAAGGCAGCCAUCUGGCCUAAUACUGACGCUGAGGUACGAAAGCAUGGGGAGCAAACAGGAUUAGAUACCCCAGUAGUCCCUGUCUCUUAUAC